Molecule: ribosomal RNA, 884 nt
Filed under: uncultured marine bacterium
Lineage: Bacteria
Description: bacterial SSU rRNA
Rfam family: Bacterial small subunit ribosomal RNA
Source: RNAcentral
AUGCAAGUCGAACGCGAAAGUGCCCUUCGGGGUGCGAGUAGAGUGGCGAACGGGUCCUUUACGCGUGGGGAACGUGCCUGGUAGUGGGGAAUAACCUUCCUAACGGAGGGCUAAUACCGCAUAUGAAGGUCGAGUCACCUGGCUUGAUCUUGAAAGGUGGCCUCUGUUUCAAGCUGCCGCUACCAGAUCGUCCCGCGUCCCAUUAGCUUGUUGGUGAGGUAACGGCUCACCAAGGCGACGAUGGGUAGCCGGCCUGAGAGGGUGUCCGGCCACACUGGGACUGAGAUACGGCCCAGACUCCUACGGGAGGCAGCAGUCGAGAGGCAUCGGCAAUGGGGGAAACCCUGACCGUGCGACGCCGCGUGGGUGAUGAAGGCUUUCGGGUCGUAAAACCCUGUCAAUUGGGGCGAAUGGCGGUGAACCAAUACUUCACCGUUUGACGGUACCAAUAGAGGAAGCUCCGGCUAACUCCGUGCCAGCAGCCGCGGUAAUACGGGGGGAGCGAACGUUGUUCGGAUUCACUGGGCGUAAAGGGGGUGUAGGCGGUCCAGUAAGUGAGAAGUGAAAUCCUUCGGCUCAACCGAAGACUUGCUUUUCAUACUGCUGGGCUAGAGUCCGGGAGGGGAGACGGGAAUUCCUGGUGUAGCGGUGAAAUGCGCAGAUAUCAGGAGGAACACCGGUGGCGAAGGCGCGUCUCUGGACCGGUACUGACGCUGAGACCCGAAAGCGUGGGGAGCAAACAGGAUUAGAUACCCUGGUAGUCCACGCCGUANACGAUGGGCACUAGGUGUGGGAGGUAUCGACCCCUUCCGUGCCGCAGUUAACGCAUUAAGUGCCCCGCCUGGGGGAGUACGGCCGCAAGGCUGAAACUCAAAGGAAAUGAC